GCAUUGGUGGUUCUGUGGUAGAAUUCUCGCCUCGCAUGCUGGAGACCUGGGUCCGAUUCCCGGCCAAUGCA
Danio rerio (zebrafish) is the source of this 71-nucleotide non-coding RNA. The record is from Rfam. Lineage: Eukaryota; Metazoa; Chordata; Actinopteri; Cypriniformes; Danionidae.